This 836-nucleotide ribosomal RNA is filed under the name Vannella persistens. Its description in RNAcentral is "bacterial SSU rRNA". It matches the Rfam family "Eukaryotic small subunit ribosomal RNA", at positions 1006 to 1828 of the family's 1831-position model. The record is from RNAcentral. Lineage: Eukaryota; Discosea; Flabellinia; Vannellidae.
GAUCAGAUACCGUCGUAGUCUUAACUAUAAACUAUGCCGACCGGGGAUAUGAGUUGUUAGGAAUAUACGAAAGUAUAUUCAAUUUCUUCUUAUGGACCUUGUGAGAAAUCAUAAGUGUUUGGGUUCUGGGGGGAGUAUGGUCGCAAGGCUGAAACUUAAAGGAAUUGACGGAGGGGCACCACCAGGAGUGGAGCGUGCGGCUUAAUUUGACUCAACACGGGAAAACUUACCAGGUCCAGACAUUAGAAGGAUUGACAGAUUGAUAGCUCUUUCAUGAUUUGAUGGGUGGUGGUGCAUGGCCGUUCUUAGUUGGUGGAGUGAUUUGUCUGGUUAAUUCCGAUAACGAACGAGACCUUUACCAUACUAACUAGUUAUAUAUAAACUUCUGCUUAUAUAGAUGAACUUCUUAGAGGGACUAUUGGUUUACAAACCAAAGGAAGUAAAGGCGAUAACAGGUCUGUGAUGCCCUUAGAUGUUCUGGGCUGCACGCGCGCUACAAUGAUAAGAUCAUCAAGUUAUUUUUAUUGAUUUGCUUUGCCGGAAGGUAUGGCUAAUCUUAAAGUCUUAUCGUGCUUGGGAUAGAUGAUUGCAAUUAUUCAUCUCAAACCAGGAAUUCCUAGUAAUCGUAGCUCAUCAGGCUGCGAUGAUUACGUCCCUGCCCCUUGUACACACCGCCCGUCGCUGCUACCGAUUGGAUGAUCCGGUGAAAUCCUCGGACUGACGUAAUUAUCUAGCUGCAAGGUUAGAUAUUAUGUUGGGAAGUUGAUUAAACCUUAUCAUCUAGAGGAAGCAAAAGUCGUAACAAGGUUUCCGUAGGUGAACCUGCAGAAGGAUCA